GACGAACGCUGGCGGCGUGCCUAAUACAUGCAAGUCGAGCGCAGGAAACUGACGGAACUCUUCGGAGGGAAGGCAGUGGAAUGAGCGGCGGACGGGUGAGUAACACGUAAGGAACCUGCCUCAAGGAUUGGGAUAACUCCGAGAAAUCGGAGCUAAUACCGGAUAGUUCAACGGACCGCAUGGUCCGCUGAUGAAAGGCGCUCCGGCGUCACCUUGAGAUGGCCUUGCGGUGCAUUAGCUAGUUGGUGGGGUAACGGCCCACCAAGGCGACGAUGCAUGGCCGACCUGAGAGGGUGAUCGGCCAAACUGGGACUGGGACACGGCCCAGACUCCUACGGGAGGCAGCAGUAGGGAAUCUUCCACAAUGGACGAAAGUCUGAUGGAGCAACGCCGCGUGAGUGAUGAAGGUUUUCGGAUCGUAAAACUCUGUUGUAAGGGAAGAACACGUACGAGAGGAAAUGCUCGUACCUUGACGGUACCUUAGGAGAAAGCCACGGCUAACUACGUGCCAGCCGCCGCCGUAA
This 524-nucleotide ribosomal RNA is filed under the name uncultured bacterium. Its description in RNAcentral is "partial 16S ribosomal RNA". It matches the Rfam family "Bacterial small subunit ribosomal RNA", at positions 28 to 523 of the family's 1533-position model. The record is from RNAcentral.